Molecule: long non-coding RNA, 1853 nt
Filed under: Daucus carota (carrot)
Lineage: Eukaryota; Viridiplantae; Streptophyta; Magnoliopsida; Apiales; Apiaceae
Description: long non-coding RNA (DCAR_LNC005355)
Source: RNAcentral
UUUUGUCACAUAUACUUAUUUCCCAAAUUAAAAUCAAUCAUAAUCUAACACACGCAGGGGCAAAAUCGUAAGCAAUCUGUUUUUUAUUAAUUAAAAAUAUUUUAUUUUUGGCAUCUGUCCAAAUCAAAUCAAAGCACACAAAAUACCCUCAAAUCAUUACGUCCGAGAUCAUUACAUAUACACACCGUCCUGAAGAACGACUACUAUUGUAAGAAGAAGAAAGCUACGAGAUCGUGGAAACAUUGUAAUUCAUCAAUUGAAGGUCUGUACCACACAUCAUUCUCAUGGAUCUUAUAUCUUUUUCGUAAAAUUUGUUUAUUAUAACUUUUGUAUAAUCUGCAGACUCAUGUAUUCCUUUUCCAGAGAGAAAAUAACAGAGAAGAAUCUCCAUGAGAACACUGGCCAAAAUGACGGAGAAUAAUCUCCAUGCUGAGAUUCUUUUAGGUGUUUAGCUAGGUUCGAGGUUCUUAAGAUUUAUUAAGGUUUCUUUUUAUAAUGUCAUGUUUUAUGGCUUGUGAUUUUGGAUCGCUUGCUAUCUCAGAAUCGUCUUAAAUAUUGGCAAGUGCAGCAAAGUGUUUCUUGUAGCUUUUGUGGAGAGAUUCCUGAUUCUCUUUCACAUUUAUAUUUUCAGUGUGGAUUCUGUUACUUUGUCCUUCUGAAAUUUCAAAAGGGGCUAUUGUUUGCUGUACAAAAGGAAUUGGGAGGAGUAUAUUCGAGAAUCUGCUGUUGCUUGGCAAGGAAAAUCUUUGAAUGUUCUAAUUAAUAAGCUUGUCCUGCUGUAGUUUCUCAUCUUUGGAAUAAGAGAAAACGAAGGCUUUUUCAGAAGAAGAAUAAGUCUGUUGGGUAGAUUAUUGAUGAUAAAUCUGAUGAUAUUUGGAAAAAAUUGCAGGGAUUUCAGUUUUUAAUUCUCCGAGGGUGAGAGAUGAUUUGCUCAGAUAGGGUUUAAAUUCUGAGCUUCUGUUAAUCAAUCAUGUUUGAUAUGGGGGAGGUCUUGGUUUUGGUGACAGUCUAUUUUUGGCUGAGCCAAGAAUCCGCGUCUGCUAUUUGUUUCGGGGUUGUUUUUUUGCAUCAGCCUAGUGGAUUUGUAAGUUGAGUAUUGGCCGCCUGUUAUGGGUGAAAGCCUUCUUUUUUGUAUGUUUAGUCUUGGCCCCUGCUGGGAGAAAAUUUUAUCUGCUGACAUAUGUUUUGGGGCUGUGAGAAUGUUUUAAAAUCUGAUUUAUGGAUUGUCUGGAGCUUUUUUAUUUACCUGUUGAUAGAGAUUUAUUUCUGGAAAAGUCUGCGGAAAGUUGUUGAUGCUGCAGUUCAUUGGGCCAUUGUCUUUUUAUGUUGCUGUGGUAUAAUUGAUGGUAGUCCUAUUUUACUUUUAUGUGAUUGUUCCAGGAUUGCUCUAAUCGCAGGGGAUUGUUCUGCUUGAGUAAUUUCGAGGUGCUGCAGUUUUUUAGGUGGUCUGGCAUAGUUAAAUGUGUGGCAAAUUUUCUGUUUGAUAGUUAGAGGGUCUGUUAUGGGUGGAUGCUGCAGGAGUCGCUGCAAUGUAAGGGGUAUUUUUUUUUUAGUUCUUUUCCUCGACAAUUCCGUUGGCCGAGAUGGUGGUGGAGUCCUUGCUUGCUGCUGUUGCUCGAGUAGAGUGGUUAUGGUGUUAAAGUUGCUUUUAAAUAUUUUCCGGCCGCCUGAUUUCGAGAUGUGCUCUAUUCCUAGCAGUAUUCUUUGAUUAAAUUUUAGGAAUUUAAUUUCGGGGGUCUGUGUAUCCAAGAUAUUUUAUUAAUUUAAAUAAUUAAUAUGUGUGCUAUGCAAGAUUCUUUUAAAAAUUUUGAGAUUUGUCUUGUAUAAAAUUUUUAUCCUAUGAUAUUCUUUUG